ACACUGAGGAGAUACUUGAAGAAUUUGGAUUCAGCCGCGAAGAGAUUUAUCAGCUUAACUCAGAUAAAAUCAUUGAAAGUAAUAAGGUAAAAGCUAGAGGCAGAUGUUUAUUUUUCUUAUGUAACAAAAAGUCUGGGAGUAGGUGUCUGCUGGCUUUCAGUCAGCUGCUAGAUGUCAGAGCCAACAAUUUAAUGUUUCCUUGGCAGCUUUAUGGA
This 215-nucleotide long non-coding RNA is filed under the name Pan troglodytes (chimpanzee). RNAcentral describes it as "long non-coding RNA NONPTRT013624". Lineage: Eukaryota; Metazoa; Chordata; Mammalia; Primates; Hominidae. The record is from RNAcentral.